RNAcentral lists this long non-coding RNA (1344 nucleotides) under Accipiter nisus (Eurasian sparrowhawk). Its description in RNAcentral is "lncRNA (ENSANIG00000003126.1)". The record is from RNAcentral. Lineage: Eukaryota; Metazoa; Chordata; Aves; Accipitriformes; Accipitridae.
CUAACAUGUUUUGCAAUCCACGCAGUAGAGCCUGGGCAGAGACUCGUGCACCUUUGCACUCUGAUAAGGAGAAUAUUAUUGGUCUACUAGUGGCCUAGCCAGAUAAGAGGUUUGGGGCGGGCAGUCUGCGGUUUUUUUUCCUCAAGCUCUCAUUAUUCUGCACCAGUAUCUCCAGAUGCUGUUCGUGGGGAACUAAGCUGCUUUCUAUCUAAAACUGCAAAGAGUGAUGGAGAGUUUAAGCAAAGACCUUGCCUAUUCGGACUCAUCCCAGCCACCCUCUGCAAACAGGGAGGAGUAUGCCGUGCCAGAUGUCAGCAUCACCCGUCGCUUGAGAGACCGGGAAAUGCUCCGGAAAAGAAGAGCUGAAGCCCACGAGAAAGACUCAGUUCAGUGGGUUCUGAGGGAUUUCAAGAAGAUCAAACAGCAAAAGAGAAGCAGAGGAGGCAGGCGAGGACGAGGCCGCCAGCCUGUGAUGGAGCCCAGACAGGAGCCAGAACUGGAGCUGGACCCCCAGCCCAAGCCGCAGGAGGAGGCUGAGCCAGUGCCCUCCAAUCCAGCACCGCCUGAGCUGGUGCAUCAAUUGCCCGUGCUGACAAUCCAGGACCUGGUCAGUGAGAUGGAACUGGGAGCGGCAGAGGGGGAGCAGGGAGCCAUGAUCGAGGAUCCUGUGGGCCUUGUAGGUGAAGAAGACCUGCUGAAACCAGCAGAAGCAGAAAUACCAGAAGCUUUGAAUAUUCCUCUGGAAAAUGAAUACCGGGAUGAUGAGUCCAGCACAGAUAUUCUAUUUUAAUUUGCUGUUGGUUUUUUUUUUUUCCAAUGGUUCUACUCCUGCAUGAUAAACUCCAAUAAGUACUGGACCAGCUCUUUCCUUGUGAGUAAUAAAGCCCGCACUUUCCUGAUUGCUCUGCUUUCUAUGCUUCUUUCAGGUUACGAUGAGGGGGAACGUGGUUGCUUGCAUAAAGGCAGUCCUUUCCGAGGUGCCUGCUGCCUGGGGUCCAUGAGGCCCCCCCCAACCCUCUCUGGCAGCAGGCUGUUCCACCUAGGUGGUGGUCCCAUGGAGGGCUGCACAGUGCCCCACCACGCUGCAGUUUAAGCGUACAGACCAGCGUCCCUCCAUGCUUCUGAAAGGCAUUUCUGAUUUGCAGAAAUGCAAGUGGCAUUGUGAAGCUGAAUCCCACCAUGAUUUUUAGCUCGCUGGAGCAGCCCAGCUUGGGCUUUUUCCUGCACCUGAUAAAUCCUACAACCCCUUGUGUUAUUAUCUUCAGUCUGAACAUCUUUCUCACAGUCUGUUCUCCUCCUUGGUAAACAGCUUGCUUUCCUAAAGCCUGGAAAGCAUUUUGUUUC